CACUAGAUGGCUGAAAAUAGCACUGGUCUCUUAAACCAUAUUAUAAUACAUCGUAUUUCUAGUGA
This 65-nucleotide transfer RNA is filed under the name Mazarredia convexa. Its description in RNAcentral is "tRNA-Lys". The record is from RNAcentral. Lineage: Eukaryota; Metazoa; Arthropoda; Insecta; Orthoptera; Tetrigidae.